GAUGAAGAACGUAGCAAAAUGCGAUACUUGGUGUGAAUUGCAGAAUCCCGUGAACCAUCGAGUUUUUGAACGCAAGUUGCGCCCGAAACCAUCCGGUUGAGGGCACGCCUGCCUGGGUGUCACGCAUCGCGUCGUCCCCCAACAUACUCUCCCUUUCUGGGUUGUCAUGUUGAUUGGGGACGGAGACUGGCCUCCCGUGCUUCUGGUGCGGUUGGCCUAAAUAGGAGGCCCCUUCGGUGGAUACACGGCUAGUGGUGGUUGUUAAGACCCUCGUAUUGUGCUGUGUGUUGUGAGCUGUUAGGGAAACCCUCACCAAAGACCCUAUUGUAUCGUCUUGGUACGAUGCUUCGACCGCGACCCCAGGUCAGGCGGGACUACCCGCUGAGUUUAAGCAUAUCAAUAAGCGGAGGA
Molecule: unclassified non-coding RNA, 411 nt
Filed under: soil metagenome
Description: partial contains 5.8S ribosomal RNA, internal transcribed spacer 2, and large subunit ribosomal RNA
Rfam family: 5.8S ribosomal RNA (bases 1-122)
Source: RNAcentral